GUCUGUUGGGGCACCUCUGCCCAGGAGAGAUGGACGAGGUAGGUACAGACAGGUCUGAGGGAGGAGGAUGGGAUGCAGGCAGAGGCCGGCAGCGUCACUCUAUGAGACACAGGCUCUGGGUUUCCUGGCUUCUUACAGGAAGCACAGGGAGGGGACUCACCCACACUUGAAUUUUUUUUUCUUGGCUCUGGGUCUUGAGACAUGUGGGCAGGGGGCCUUGGCCGCUCUUGGGUGGGGUUGGCAGCUGCCACAAAGAGUGGCUAGGUGGCCCCUCAGGCGCAAAGUCCUUUCCUAGGGCCCUUCACCUCUCUCUUCUGACCUCCUCGGAUCACCCUCGGAUCACCCUCAGGUCUGUGGGCAUUUCCCUGUUUUACAGAAGAGGAAAUGGAGACCUGGCGACCUCAAGGAUUUGCUUCAGAGUUCCAGAGCCAGUGAGGGCCAGAGCUGGGAGAGAUCACAUCUGCCCCGUGCAAGCCCCAGGCCCUUCCCUCUGCUCCUGCCUGAAGUGACCCAAGUCUGAGGCAACCAUUCAUGAUCUCCUAGAUCCGUGACCUUGAGGAGCUGUGGCCACACACUACAGGAGACCGAUGGCCUAGCUUGUCCCAAAUCUCCCCUCCAGCUGAACUACCUACUCCUAGGCCUGCCAAGUCCCCAAAUUCCCUUAGCCAACCAGGUCUGGGGUGGGGACUUGUGGCCUCCAGGCCUAGGUUCAACUCCUAAUCCCUGUUUCAUGAUGUGUGACUUUGGGCAAAUGACUUGAUGUCCGAGUCCCAAUUUUCUCAUUUGCAAAAUGGGCACCACACUGCCUAUUUGUAAAUUAAAGGAAAAUGGCAGCUGGUGUUAGUAGAAGAGCAUGGGUGGGGCUCCCCAGAAGGCCUCUGGGAAAAUGCUCUGUAUAUGAUGGUUCUUGGUUACCACCAGGCCCCCAAAUGUCCCCUCCUGCUAUUGGUUCUUGUUUCCUCAGUGAGGAGGUGCAGGCCUGGCUUCUGGUGAACUCCAGACAGCCACCAUUCAGGUCAACCUGUUCAGGUCAACAGGGCCUUCUGCACGGUGCCCAGUGUGUGGCCUUCGCACAACCCUGAGAGGUAGGUCCUCCUUUAUCCCCAUUUUACAGAUUAGAAAACUGAGGCACAGCAAGGUAGCUGUGGGCAUGUCUCCGGGGCCACACAGGUCAGAAAGCAGCCCCGGGAGAGCCCACUCCAGCCUCCCACCUGGGCAGGGCAGGUGUGUGGUGAUGGCUGCCUCUGCCUCCCUUUUGGGAGGCCAGAGGCCAAAGUCAAGGGUUUGAGUUCACACAGCUGCUGCAAAUGGAGCCUGUGAGGCCAAGAAGAGAGCUGAGCACUUUCCCUCCUGGGAGGACAGACAGUCUGGGGAUCAGGAGCAUCUGGGAGGACUGCCUGGGGGAGGCUGCCUCUUCCAGUCUCAUCCUGCCACCCCUGCAGGCUAAUGCCACCCUGACACAUCUCACACCUCCUGACACCGCCCAUUCCCAUCCAGCCACCCUGCCUCCUCUGCUCUCCUGCUACCGACCCACCCCCUGCAGCUUUAGCGGGCUCUAAAUCCCCUUAAACCCUUUUUUUGGCCGCCCUGUGUCAUCUACCAGCGUAAGUCCCAAAUGCCUCAUGACUGUCUCAGACCUGUCCCUCUCCCCUCUGCCCCACACCAGCCUCCACUGCUCCCCAAGCACACUCUUGUGUUUCCACACCUCUGGGUCUUGGCACGCCGCUGCCAGGAAUCCCUUCCUUCCCCCCACUUCUGCCCAGCAAACUCCUACUCAUCCAUCAAGAGCCUGCUCCAGCAGCUACUCUUUCAUGAUGACCCCACCAAUGCCCUGCCCCCCAAGCAGAAUUUGUCUUANNNNNNNNNNNNNNNNNNNNNNNNNNNNNNNAGGCCAAGAAGAGAGCUGAGCACUUUCCCUCCUGGGAGGACAGACAGUCUGGGGAUCAGGAGCAUCUGGGAGGACUGCCUGGGGGAGGCUGCCUCUUCCAGUCUCAUCCUGCCACCCCUGCAGGCUAAUGCCACCCUGACACAUCUCACACCUCCUGACACCGCCCAUUCCCAUCCAGCCACCCUGCCUCCUCUGCUCUCCUGCUACCGACCCACCCCCUGCAGCUUUAGCGGGCUCUAAAUCCCCUUAAACCCUUUUUUUGGCCGCCCUGUGUCAUCUACCAGCGUAAGUCCCAAAUGCCUCAUGACUGUCUCAGACCUGUCCCUCUCCCCUCUGCCCCACACCAGCCUCCACUGCUCCCCAAGCACACUCUUGUGUUUCCACACCUCUGGGUCUUGGCACGCCGCUGCCAGGAAUCCCUUCCUUCCCCCCACUUCUGCCCAGCAAACUCCUACUCAUCCAUCAAGAGCCUGCUCCAGCAGCUACUCUUUCAUGAUGACCCCACCAAUGCCCUGCCCCCCAAGCAGAAUUUGUCUUAAUUAAUUUUUUUUUUUAAAUUAGUAAUGGGAAUUAACCCAGAGGCACUAAACUGCUGAGCCACGUCCCCAGUCCUUUUUAUUUAUUUUUUUUUAUUUUGAGACAGGGCCUCGCUAAGUUGCUGAGGUUGACCUUGAACUUGCAAUCCUCCUGCCUCAGACUUCUGAGUUGCUGGGAUUACAGGCAUGCACCAUGGUACCUGGCUCUGUGUGUCUGUCCCUCUGGGUAAGGGAUUCCUAGUGGACAGGAAAUAGUCUCACUUGCCUGUGGUACCCCCAGAAGUGGGCACAGAGUCUCAAUUAUUUUUAUUGGUUGAACUCAUGAGUAUAGGUUUGUUGAAUGAAAAACCAGCCCCCCUAGUAGUUUUGAACUGUGUUUGCAUCUCUGUAGCUUUGGAAAUGUUUUUUGGAGUCACUGAGGAGCCCUGGCCUAGGAUUUGCUAUUUUCUGAGCCUGUUUAUGAGCUUUGGGAAGAGCAGAAAGUAACCCCAACUUCAAUCAAAUACUCGUGUUCAGAGAUGUCUUAACUGGAAUUAGGAUGUUGGAGUCCAGGGUUGGAUUCCUGGCAAGAUGAGCACUCAGGGAGGAGUCCCUGUCCCUAAAUGCUCCCUCUCAGUUACCUAUGGCCUGACAUUCCACCAUUAGUGAUUCAUUUCUUUGGAUCAUUCAGUCAACAAAUCUUUAUUCAGCUCUCCCUGGAGGGGAGGCACUGUGCUGGACCCUUGAGUUGACAUUUAAGUGUGUAUGUGCUACUUCUCCUUCUGGAAGGAAGGAAGAAACAGAAGGGGUGGGAUAUGAGUAAGACUGGAGGACUGGGCACUACUGGGAUCAUUAGGGAUCAAAUAGCCACCUCAGUCUCUGUCCUGUCUGAAUAGCACAGAGGCCACGUGGUGUCUUCUGAGCAUGCUCACACACCCCCACACCCCCAACAGCCCCGCUAUGUGGAGUGUCACUACCAUCUUACCCAUGAAGAAACUGAGUUUGGAGAGGGGAGGCGAUGAGCCCAGGAUGACAGAGCUGGAACCAGCAUCAGAACUCAGCCCUGCCUGGGCUGCUCAGGUGCAGGGGGCACUGGCUCACCCCUUACUGGUGUCCAGAUGGCCGGGGCUCUCAGAGCCACCACAGCUCUUCCUUGCCACUCAAGCCUCACCCUCUGGGACCCAGGGUGGCCCAUGUGCCUCUUUGUCCUCCAUUGUACAGGCAGCAGGGGUGCAGGGGUAGGUGCAGAGAGCACGGGAGCUGGGGCUGAUGGCCUUCCACAGAGCCCUGCUCCAGCUGAUGGGCUGUGUGACUUUGGACAAGCUCCUCAACCUCUGGGGCCUCAGGCUCCUCAUCUGUAAAAUGGGCAGGAUGCUGUGUGCCGCCUGCCUCUCCGUCUGCUCAUUUGUUCAACAAAUACCCAUCGAGCACCUUGUGCCCAGCUUCUGUGCUGUGUGCUAAGAAGACGGUGCAGAAAGAAAAGCUCCUCCUGGGCUGGGGAUGUGGCUCAAGCGGUAGCGCGCUCUCCUGGCAUGCGUGCGGCCUGGGUUCGAUCCUCAGCACCACAUACAAACAAAGAUGUUGUGUCCGCCGAGAACUAAAAAAUAAAUAUUAAAAAAAU
This 4024-nucleotide long non-coding RNA is filed under the name Marmota monax (woodchuck). Lineage: Eukaryota; Metazoa; Chordata; Mammalia; Rodentia; Sciuridae. The record is from RNAcentral.